GGAUCAAUGGAUUGGUCAUGCCGUUGGUAUGAACUGGUCAUAUUGGUUCUCACCUUCUAAGGAACCAUAAUGUCAUUAAUUUGAUGUUUUGGGGAAUUAGGACUGUUACCUUGAAAAAAUUAGAGUGUUUAAAGCAGGCAUACGCUUGAAUACAUUAGCAUGGAAUAAUGAAAUAGGACAUCGCACUCUAUUUUGUUGGUUUCUAGGAUCGAUGUAAUGAUUAAUAGGGAUAGUUG
RNAcentral lists this ribosomal RNA (236 nucleotides) under uncultured Glomus. Its description in RNAcentral is "partial 18S ribosomal RNA". The stretch from base 47 to 236 matches the Rfam family "Eukaryotic small subunit ribosomal RNA", at positions 693 to 884 of the family's 1831-position model. Lineage: Eukaryota; Fungi; Glomeromycota; Glomeromycetes; Glomerales; Glomeraceae. RNAcentral also lists the same sequence under 1 other name. The record is from RNAcentral.